Molecule: long non-coding RNA, 506 nt
Organism: Mastomys coucha (southern multimammate mouse)
Lineage: Eukaryota; Metazoa; Chordata; Mammalia; Rodentia; Muridae
Exons: 2
Source: RefSeq, a predicted model, not a curated record
UCUACAGAAGAGAAAGCAGAAGAGUAUAAAAGCCAGAGGAAAUGAAGGACUCGAAUGACAUCAAGGCCUUCUAAGCACAACAGGAUGGACAAAUUUAAGAACCCACAGAGACUGAGGUAACAUGAAUAAGAUGUACACAGGUCCUCCGCGUGGAUUGUCUCCACUCCGUGCAGGUCCUCCGCGUGGAUUGCCUCCGCUCCGUGCAGGUCCUCCGCGUGGAUUGCCUCCGCUCUGUGCAGGUCCUCCGCGUGGAUUGCCUCCGCUCCGUGCAGGUCCUCCGUGUGGAUUGUUGUAGACUUCCUCAUUGUUACUCAAGGCUGCAGCGUGGAGAAAUACCUCAUAGAAGCUGUGCCAUCCCUGUGCACCAUAUGUAGAUGUUUCUGAUUAUGGUAAUGUUCCCCUUGAUUAUGUGAUUAAAUAUUGUCUGCCAGGUUUCUCCACUUGAAAGUCACUAUUUUUCCUUCAUAAUGGCAUUUCUUCAUAAUAAAUAUUUGAGGAAAGAUGUA